CCUACGGGAGGCAGCAGUGGGGAAUAUUGCACAAUGGGGGAAACCCUGACCCAGCAACGCCGCGUGAAGGAAGAAGGCUCUCGGGUUGUAAACUUCUUUUAUCAGGGACGAAGCAAGUGACGGUACCUGAUGAAUAAGCCACGGCUAACUACGGGCCAGCAGCCGCGGUAAUACGUAGGUGGCAAGCGUUAUCCGGAUUUACUGGGUGUAAAGGGCGUGUAGGCGGGAAAGCAAGUCUGAUGUGAAAACCAUGGGCUCAACCUGUGGCCUGCAUUGGAAACUGUUUUUCUUGAGUACUGGAGAGGCAGGCGGAAUUCCUAGUGUAGCGGUGAAAUGCGUAGAUAUUAGGAGGAACACCAGUGGCGAAGGCGGUCUGCUGGACAGCAACUGACGCUGAGGCGCGAAAGCGUGGGGAGCAAACAGGAUUAGAUACCCCUGUAGUC
This 443-nucleotide ribosomal RNA is filed under the name uncultured bacterium. RNAcentral describes it as "partial 16S ribosomal RNA". It matches the Rfam family "Bacterial small subunit ribosomal RNA", at positions 338 to 795 of the family's 1533-position model. The record is from RNAcentral.